Molecule: ribosomal RNA, 252 nt
Filed under: uncultured Allobaculum sp.
Lineage: Bacteria; Bacillati; Bacillota; Erysipelotrichia; Erysipelotrichales; Erysipelotrichaceae
Description: partial 16S ribosomal RNA
Rfam family: Bacterial small subunit ribosomal RNA
Source: RNAcentral
UACGUAGGGGGCAAGCGUUAUCCGGAUUUACUGGGUGUAAAGGGUGCGUAGGCGGCCUGCUAAGUCUGGAGUGAAAGGUACCGGCUCAACCGGUACAGGCUCUGGAAACUGGCGGGCUAGAGAGCAGGAGAGGGCGGUGGAACUCCAUGUGUAGCGGUAAAAUGCGUAGAUAUAUGGAAGAACACCAGUGGCGAAGGCGGCCGCCUGGCCUGUUACUGACGCUGAGGCACGAAAGCGUGGGGAUCGAACAGG